Molecule: microRNA, 24 nt
Filed under: Ananas comosus (pineapple)
Lineage: Eukaryota; Viridiplantae; Streptophyta; Magnoliopsida; Poales; Bromeliaceae
Description: microRNA s1212_c022b
Source: RNAcentral
CCCACUCAACCCUAGGGGACCACU